This 164-nucleotide small RNA is filed under the name Streptomyces longwoodensis. RNAcentral's name for it is "c-di-AMP sequence". It matches the Rfam family "c-di-AMP riboswitch aptamer (ydaO/yuaA leader)". From Rfam's summary of the family: This family represents a conserved RNA structure found upstream of the ydaO and yuaA genes in Bacillus subtilis and related genes in other bacteria. The ydaO/yuaA element is thought to act as a genetic "off" switch for the ydaO and yuaA genes in its native state. It is believed that the element may be triggered during osmotic shock leading to activation of ydaO, a predicted amino acid transporter gene, and members of the yuaA-yubG operon which code for KtrA and KtrB K+ transporters. Lineage: Bacteria; Bacillati; Actinomycetota; Actinomycetes; Kitasatosporales; Streptomycetaceae. The record is from Rfam by way of RNAcentral.
GGACAGUCAUCGCCGAGUCCCCGUACGGCGCGAGCCAGGGGAGCCGGGGACCCAUCAGUCCCUGGGGUGAAUCGGGCGCCCGCGCGUGUCGCGAGGGGGGCCCGUAGGAGACCUUCCUGCUCCGAACCCGUCAGCUAACCCGGUAGGCGAGAGGGAAGGAAAGG